AGUCGAGCGGGGUAUGGGGGCAACCUCAUAUUCAGCGGCGGACGGGUGAGUAAUGCAUCGGAACGUAUCCCGUAGUGGGGGACAACCCAGCGAAAGCUGGGCUAAUACCGCAUAUGCUCUGAGGAGGAAAGCAGGGGACCUGGAAGGGCCUUGUGCUAUGGGAGCGGCCGAUGUCCGAUUAGCUGGUUGGUGGGGUAAAGGCUUACCAAGGCGACGAUCGGUAGCUGGUCUGAGAGGAUGAUCAGCCACACUGGGACUGAGACACGGCCCAGACUCCUACGGGAGGCAGCAGUGGGGAAUUUUGGACAAUGGGGGCAACCCUGAUCCAGCCAUGCCGCGUGCGGGAAGAAGGCCUUCGGGUUGUAAACCGCUUUUGGCCGGGAAGAAAAGGCUCCGGCUAAUACCCGGGGCUAUUGACGGUACCGGCAGAAUAAGCACCGGCUAACUACGUGCCAGCAGCCGCGGUAAUACGUAGGGUGCGAGCGUUAAUCGGAAUUACUGGGCGUAAAGCGUGCGCAGGCGGUUGGUUAAGUCUGAUGUGAAAGCCCCGGGCUCAACCUGGGAAUGGCAUUGGAAACUGCUUACUGGAGUGUGGCAGAGGGGGG
This 605-nucleotide ribosomal RNA is filed under the name uncultured beta proteobacterium. RNAcentral's name for it is "bacterial SSU rRNA". It matches the Rfam family "Bacterial small subunit ribosomal RNA", at positions 60 to 661 of the family's 1533-position model. Lineage: Bacteria; Pseudomonadati; Pseudomonadota; Betaproteobacteria. The record is from RNAcentral.